RNAcentral lists this ribosomal RNA (497 nucleotides) under uncultured bacterium. RNAcentral describes it as "partial 16S ribosomal RNA". It matches the Rfam family "Bacterial small subunit ribosomal RNA", at positions 28 to 506 of the family's 1533-position model. The record is from RNAcentral.
GACGAACGCUGGCGGCGUGCCUAAUACAUGCAAGUCGAACGAGAGCGACCGGUGCUUGCACUGGUCAAUCUAGUGGCGAACGGGUGAGUAACACGUGGGUAACCUGCCCAUCAGAGGGGGAUAACAUUCGGAAACGGAUGCUAAAACCGCAUAGGUCUUCGAACCGCAUGGUUUGAAGAGGAAAAGAGGCGCAAGCUUCUGCUGAUGGAUGGACCCGCGGUGCAUUAGCUAGUUGGUGAGGUAACGGCUCACCAAGGCCGUGAUGCAUAGCCGACCUGAGAGGGUGAUCGGCCACAUUGGGACUGAGACACGGCCCAAACUCCUACGGGAGGCAGCAGUAGGGAAUCUUCCGCAAUGGACGCAAGUCUGACGGAGCAACGCCGCGUGAGUGAAGAAGGUUUUCGGAUCGUAAAACUCUGUUGUUAGAGAAGAACAAGUGCUAGAGUAACUGUUAGCGCCUUGACGGUAUCUAACCAGAAAGCCACGGCUAACUACGU